GAAAUGCGAUAAGUAGUGUGAAUUGCAGAAUUCAGUGAAUCAUCGAAUCUUUGAACGCACAUUGCGCCCUUUGGUAUUCCAAAGGGCAUGCCUGUUCGAGCGUCAUUUGUACCCUCAAGCUUUGCUUGGUGUUGGGCGUCUUGUCUCUAGCUUUGCCGGAGACUCGCCUUAAAGUAAUUGGCAGCCGGCCUACUGGUUUCGGAGCGCAGCACAAGUCGCACUCUCUAUCAGCAAAGGUCUAGCAUCCAUUAAGCCUUUUUUUCAACUUUUGACCUCGGAUCAGGUAGGGAUACCCGCUGAACUUAAGC
RNAcentral lists this unclassified non-coding RNA (308 nucleotides) under plant metagenome. RNAcentral describes it as "partial contains 5.8S ribosomal RNA, internal transcribed spacer 2, and large subunit ribosomal RNA". The stretch from base 1 to 105 matches the Rfam family "5.8S ribosomal RNA", at positions 50 to 154 of the family's 154-position model. The record is from RNAcentral.